UACGAAGGUCCCAAGCGUUAUCCGGAUUUAUUGGGUUUAAAGGGUGCGUAGGCGGGCUAUUAAGUCAGUGGUGAAAGCCCCAAGCUUAACUUGGGAACUGCCAUUGAUACUGAUGGUCUUGAGUACAUUUGAGGUGGGCGGAAUGUGUCAUGUAGCGGUGAAAUGCUUAGAUAUGACACAGAACACCGAUUGCGAAGGCAGCUCACUAAGCCAUAACUGACGCUGAUGCACGAAAGCGUGGGGAGCAAACAGG
Molecule: ribosomal RNA, 253 nt
Filed under: uncultured bacterium
Lineage: Bacteria
Description: partial 16S ribosomal RNA
Rfam family: Bacterial small subunit ribosomal RNA
Source: RNAcentral